RNAcentral lists this ribosomal RNA (497 nucleotides) under uncultured bacterium. Its description in RNAcentral is "partial 16S ribosomal RNA". It matches the Rfam family "Bacterial small subunit ribosomal RNA", at positions 28 to 507 of the family's 1533-position model. The record is from RNAcentral.
GAUGAACGCUGGCGGCGUGCCUAAUACAUGCAAGUCGAGCGAACAGACGAGGAGCUUGCUCCACUGACGUUAGCGGCGGACGGGUGAGUAACACGUGGAUAACCUACCUAUAAGACUGGGAUAACUUCGGGAAACCGGAGCUAAUACCGGAUAAUAUAUUGAACCGCAGGGUUCAAUAGUGAAAGACGGUUUUGCUGUCACUUAUAGAUGGAUCCGCGCCGCAUUAGCUAGUUGGUAAGGUAACGGCUUACCAAGGCAACGAUGCGUAGCCGACCUGAGAGGAUGAUCAGCCACACUGGAACUGAGACACGGUCCAGACUCCUACGGGAGGCAGCAGUAGGGAAUCUUCCGCAAUGGGCGAAAGCCUGACGGAGCAACGCCGCGUGCAUGAUGAAGGUCUUCGGAUCGUAAAACUCUGUUAUUAGGGAAGAACAAAUGUGUAAUUAACUAGGCACGUCUUGACGGUACCUAAUCAGAAAGCCCCGGCUAACUACGUG